GCCCACAGGGAUCAGUGGUAGAUCGCCUUUGUCUGGUAAAUGUGCCACUUUGGUUAAGUAAAGGAGGCGGAGGUUCGAUUCCUCCUGUGGGUA
Non-coding RNA from Mycena capillaripes, 93 nucleotides. The record is from the annotation of a GenBank genome assembly. Lineage: Eukaryota; Fungi; Basidiomycota; Agaricomycetes; Agaricales; Mycenaceae.